Molecule: long non-coding RNA, 7257 nt
Filed under: Brassica napus (rape)
Lineage: Eukaryota; Viridiplantae; Streptophyta; Magnoliopsida; Brassicales; Brassicaceae
Description: long non-coding RNA (BNAP_LNC026347)
Source: RNAcentral
UAGCUUCGCCUCAAAUCUCUAUUCAUUAAGACAUCUCGAAGAUCAGAGCGUUGAGAGUGAUAUGAGUUCCUGCUAGAUUCUCGCUGACUAGGUGGGGUAGGAAGGUUUCUGGUUCUGUCUCUUGGACGAGAAGCCGAAAUGUUGAUAUUUGAAGACGCCCUGGGAAGAGUUGCGUUUUGAGGACAGUCUUCUUUCUCAUGAGUCAGUAAGUGACAUAGUGAGCAGUGUUUCUCUAGUUUUUCAUAGAGAAGUGACGCUUCGACCUCAUCCCCAUUUGAAAAUUCCAGAGUUGUGUUAAAGAUGAGGGGGAAGAGACCAUUUAUUUGAGCUCGGAGCCUGGCUUUAGUUGGAGUGAUCUCCCAGGUGUCAAAGAUACCCAAAUCUUUUCCGAUACUGUGAAGGAUGGCUUCAUUCCAGAGGUGAACCGGUACGCCAUGGACUUGGAUCCAAAAGGGUAUAUUGGAUGGAAAACUGGGGGAGAUAGAGGGUUCCCAUUUUUCGAUGAUAAUCAUCCAGUGAGCAAAGUGGUAAGGCCUAUUAUCAAGGACCUUCUGGAGGUCUUCCUGGGUUUUGAAGAGGAAAUGGAAUUUUCCUUUACCUAGAUCUGCUCCUUCGCGUCUUGUGGAGCACUUCCAGUGGUCAGAUAGAAAAAGGAUGAGAGACCACAUUCGCUGGACUUUGGGGUUGGUGACUCUGCCAAUGAGUGUUAACUCGUGUCUUCGCAUGAGUUCGGAGUUAUCGAAUGCAGGGACCUGUACUCUUCCUCUUCUGGGAGGGGAUUCAUGGCGUUGGAUGCCUUUCCCUUUUUCUGCAGCUGAUAAGCGUCGUGACAUAGUGGAAGAAAAACCACAGGGUUCUUUGCAGGGUAAGAGUUUAGGAGGAGUACAAAGGAGUUCUCUGUCCGUAGACAGGAAGGUUACUAGAAAGCAGACUUUAGAAGUGAGCAGGGGGGUUCAUCUGAGUAGUGGACCGUUCCAUAAGGGGAGGAGGACUUACCGGUGAGUGGAGACGGCCCCGUCGACCGGAGUCGAGGGUGAGAACCCGGGGAAUUUUAGGCCAGUGAAGUGUAUUGACUGGGGGGUAAAGAUAGAAGAGGAAACAAUUUGAAUCUAGAGGGGUGAAAGUCAGAGGUAAAAAACUAGAAAGGUGAUAAGUCUGAGCUGAGACCGCGGGAGAAAAUGUUGCAGGGAAAAGAGGUCAGCGGUUAAAAACCGUUCUCAGAAAGAGUGCCUGAGAGCGUUUUUCACCGAAAUUUCUUGGUUGUCUUGUUAAUUAUUUGAUUUGUUUAAAGUCAAUUUUUCUUGCUGACAAAAAAAGCAAACUUUUUUUAUAUCCGUACAUCCGUACCGCCUAUCCGUACCUGCUAAUAAUAGUCGAAACGUAAAAGAUUUGAUAUCCUUAAAUGCGUGAUAGUAGAUGAAAGAAACUUAAAUAAGACCAUUUUUGAUGUACACAUAUACACACGAGUGCCAAAUAUUAUUUUAAUUGGAUUUCUUUCCUUUUCAAAGAAUAUUAGAUUAAGCUAAUGAUAUAGUAAAACAAGGUAUGAUGGUGGAAGCCAUUAGAACAUCUACAGUGGAAAUUUAAUCUAAAUAUUAAUUACUUAAUUAAAAUUUAAUGUUUAAAUAAAUUUUGAAUCAUUUAUAGGCAUACAUGUAUCAAAAUAAUUUCUUAUGAAUAUCUCAAAGUAUUUUACUUGGGAAACUCUUCUGAUUUUCUUUUAUUUUCUAUUUUCCUUAUUUUUAUUGAAAAAUACCUAUAACUAUCUAGCAAUAAUAUAAUUAUACAAAAGGAACAUCCACUACUUUAAUGUCAUAAAAUCUUAAUUAUCCUUUGCUUGUUGCUGAAUCUGCAAAAAAAGGCGGAGGGUUAAAAAUCUGCAUUUUUAUAUUCUACCAACCCACAGUUUUGUUAGAAUGAGAAUUAUAUCAAUGAAACUUCAAAUAAGAAACAAGUGCAUAUAAGCUUGUCUGAUCUAUGAAAAUUUAAAAUAAUGACUUACUUUUAUCUAUUUGUAAGUUAUAUUUUAAGGGUUUUAAUUUAAACAAAAAAACAUAGUGUAGUUUUUCUGAAAACUAUGGAUUAAAACCACUAUCUCACAAAUAAGAAGAAACAUACGUGUUCUUUGGUAAAAAUCAAUUCGUGGAGAAGCAUACGUGUUGGUAAAUAAAAUGGGAGUAAUCAUACUUCCUUAGUUCCUUCAGUACUAAAACAGUAAGAACAAAACAACUGGAGAAUUCAUACCCUAGUCCACACUCCACACGGGCUCCGAUCUUAGGAUGAAGCUCCUCAUCCUAAACUAUUCACACUAUGAAUAUCCGCUAUGAGAUGAUCAAUAUCUAACUCAUGUCAUCAUGUGACCUUUUACCACUUCCCCCAAAUGCUUGAAACUUUACCAUUUCAUACAUGUUCAAAAGAAAGACCAUCUCUUGAUCACAGAGAUGAAAACAUAAUAAGAAGAUUGAAACUUUUAAAAAUCGAUCUGACCUCGCCGUCUGAAUCGCCGGAAGGUCCGAGCUUUUCUCAUCCCUGGCGUCUCCUCCUUGUCUUUCUUUCCCCUUGACUCACUCCGCCAUGGUUUCGAACGGUACCUUGGCGUCUCCAUCGAGUCAAAGCGACAAGCUUCAAGAUCCUCCGCCUAUGGCCUUAGAUUCUUCUUCAGCUCCACUGGGGGUGGAACUUCCGAUUCUUCGUGGCUGUGACACUGACAUCGUUGCUCCUCCUUGUACUGAAGCUCAGGCCUCUCAAAUCAUCUCAGCUUCUCAUCUACCAACUGUAGAAGCAAACGUAACAUCCGGUUCUACCACGAGUAACCAGUUUGUGCCUUCAUUGGGUUCAUGGGAAAAGCCACUCAUCUUUGUGCCACCUACUACCCCUUCUGUUCCAUCCACUCCAACGGAAUUUGAUAAAGCACUUGUAGGAAAUCAACUUGCUUCUCUUUGGCCAACCCUUAAUGACGGAAUCGUGAACAAGCAAGACAAGAACAAGCAUCCUAAUCGUUCCUUACAGGUUCCAUUAGAGAAGCUGCCACUUCCAGAGCUUAAAGCCGAUGGAUCUCUCCGUUUCCCGUGGGCUGCAAGGUUGGGUCCCCAGUCACGCAAUCUUUUCCGGGCAACAUCACCUACCUAUCGCCUUGAUGGCACCCCUGAGGUAACAAUACCUUCAAAAGUCCUUAGGUUAGGACCUGAGAACAAGGAUGAAUAUCUCAUUGGGAAAUUUCAUAGAUGUUCUUUACCCCCGGGUGGACUUGUUCAUGCUGUGGUCAAUAAAAUUUGGGGAAGAAGCUGCAAAAUUUCUUGCAAGAAGAUUAGUGAUUCAUCCUAUAUGUUUCAUAUCCCACACCAAUCUACUCGUCAGUGGAUUAUACAAAGGGGAGUUUGGCAUAUUGAUGACUGUCUGCUCUUUGUGUUGCCGUGGACACCUGAGGGCUCAUUCAAAAUUCCAGAAGUUUCAACUCUUCCGGUAUGGGUGACUUUGAAGGAUAUUCCUGACUGCUGCUACUCUAGACUAGGAAUUAGUCAUAUUGCAUCUGGUCUUGGAGAGCCUAUAUUAACACAAAAACCUCGGCUUGAUCCUACUAACUUGGGGGAAACAAAAGUAUUGGUGGAAAUGGAAUUGGAUAAGGACUUUCCAAAGCUUAUAGCCCUUGAUGAUAAACAAGGUAACAUCUUUCUAGUUAAAGUUGAAUAUACUUGGAUCCCUUCCACAUGUGAUAGGUGUGGGUGUUUAGGCCACAAAUCUAAAAGAUGCCUUCAGCCUCCUAAGACUCCAGAGGAUAAAACCUUAUCAUCAAAUUCAGUGGCUUCUAGUGUUGAUGUACCCGUGGUGGAUAUUGACAUCAUUCUUCACCAAAAUGAGAGUGCUGUCCCAUCUCCCUCACCGUCUACUCAAAAGGUAGUCACUGAGCAAGAAAGUCUUCCUGCUACUAACUUGGCGUGCGAGGUUCCAAAGAUAUGUAACCAAUUCAGUGCACUGGAUGUGCUUCCUGUCAGUUCUGAAUCGGAAUGAGGCUUGCUCGUAGAGGAGUAGGAUGUUUUGGAGUGUCGCAAUGCUCUGGGUAUUAGUUCUACAGAAGAAGAGUGUGUCAUCAGCGAAGAGGAGGUGAUUCACUCUAGGGCUUUGCUGCGAGACUCUGAUGCCUUAGAGCUUUCCAUCUCGCUCGGCUUGUUGACAUAAACCGGAGAGGACUUCAGUGCAGAGGAUGAAGAUGUAGGGUGAAAGCGGGUCACCUUGCCUAAUUCCCCUCUCAGGUAAAACUUUCCCUCUAACUGAUCCAUUGAUGAGAUAGGAAUAGGAAACAGUUGUGAUGCAUUGCAUGAGCAGUAGGACUAGGUGGUGACAGAAGCCAAGCUUGACCAGCACUGCUCUGAUAAAGUCCCAUUCGAGUCUGUCAAACGCUUUACUCAUGUCCGUUUUUACUGCCAUCGAGCAUUGUUUUGAGGCUGUCGAUGUUUUUAGAAACUGUAGGACUUCAUGGGAAAUUAGGACAUUAUCAGAUAUAGCUCUUCCCUUUACAAAAGCCGAUUGGUUCUCAGAAAUGAGUCCAUGUAAGAUAGGUUGGAGGCGCAUAGAGAGCAGUUUCGAGAUUAUUUUAUAGUAGACGUUGCAAAGCGCAAUUGGUCUGUAAUCCGAAACUGUCUUAGCACUUGAAGUUUUUGGAAUCAAUCUUACAUGGGUUUCAUUGAUGUUUCUUGGCAGGACACCCGUGGAGAAGAAGAGUUGGAUCUCAGAUACAAUCUCUUUGCUAACGGUGGACCAGUUGGAGUGAAAAAAAGUGGCUGAGAAGCCAUCUGGUCCAGGGGCCUUAUCGGGGUGAAUUGCCACGAGGGCUGUAAAGAUCUCCUCAGAAGAGGGAAGUUUUGUGAGAUGGUCAUUUGCUUGGUCUGUUACCUUCGCCGAGAUAGCCGCAUUAACGAUGUGUUAUCGGUCACCUCUAACGGAUUUGAAAAGAUUUUCAUAGUAUUGGACCACACAAUCGGUAAUGUCUUCAUCUUUGAAAAACACAAGACCUGCUCCAUUCUCCAUAACGGUCAUGGUGUUGAUAGCUUGUCUUCCUUUUGUAACAGCGUGGAAGAAGCCGGAGUUUUUAUCACCGAGACUCAACCAAAGGUUUCUGCUGCGCUGUUUCCAGAAAGCUUCUUCUUUAAGGUAUUCGUUUGUAAGGUCUUUAUUAAUCUUGGAGAUUAGGUCACUGUUGUUGUUGAGGUUUACCAUUGCUGCUUCCAGAUCCUCCUUAUGUUUUUCGAUGGCUUUUCUGCUGUUGAGGUGCUGAUUCUUACACCACUUAAUCAGGGCUUUUCUCACAUGGAUGAUUCUUGAUUCCACUGCUUCUGAUGGAGAGGAAGUCCAUGUCUCCUUUAUCAGCUCUUUGACUUCAUGGUUGUUCUUUAAGCGUCUGUCAAAUCUAAAGAUGCCUUUGGAUUUUCUUUUGGUGGCAUCAAAACAGGUGACAACGGGCUUAUGAUCUGAGCCUGCAAACUUUAGAUACUCGCUUCGGGCCGCAAAAAAAGUGUCAAACCAGUGGCUAUUUGCAAGGGCUCUAUCAAGCCGGCAGCGGACAACUUGAUCACCUCUCAACUUGAUCACCUCUGACUCCUCUCCAGGAUAGAUAAUCACCGGAGUGUGGUAAGUCAAAUAGAUCACAAGGCUGAAAAGAAGGAUCUGAAGUCGACAAAAGAGCCCUCAGGCCUUAUGAUGCCACCUGACUUCUCUUGGUUGCCAAUAAUGUCGUUAAAAUCACCUGUAAGGAACCAAGGAGAAUCCCUGACAGUAGAGAGGCACGUUAGCUCUUCCCAUAGUUUCCUUCUUUUCAGAUUAUAUGUAUCCCCAUAGAUGAAGGUAGCAAAGAACUCUUUAUUCUCAUAUGAGAUUUUGACAUCUAUGUAGUUCUUGCAGGCGGUGGUAACUGAGAGGUCGACUGCAGCUUUCCAGAAUAAAGCAAGGCCUCCGCUGCCAUGUCCUUCAGGGGGGACCAGUAGAUGAUUAGGGUAAUCAACCGAAUUCAGUUUACGGAGGACAAAGUCAUCGGGAUUCUUUGUUUCCGAGAGGAACAAGAUGUCUGGAGAUAUGUCCUUGCGCAUCUCCUUUAGUCGCUGGACUGUCAGGGGGUUUCCCAACCCUUGACAGUUCCAGCUUAUCACUUUUAAGGAACUGGAGGUGGUGGUGCGCGAAAAUCCACUGAUCGUCGGACCACCGGGGGAAUAAUAUUACAUGAGGGUCUCAUGCUUGCAGAUGCAGAGGCGUCUUGAUAUUUUUGAGCUGGCUUUGGGGCUCGGGCAGAGGGGGUUCGUCUUUUAGGUGAGCCUUUUGAUAGUGUCACCCUCCGUUUCUUUGUGAUGGUUCCGGCUGCUCCCAAUGCUAGAGUAGAUUGAUUUUUGCUUCCGGGUGGACGCCCAAGCCUUUUUUUCAUUGAGGGGCCUGUAGUAGUUACCGGCUCUCCUGUUUCCUGAGGUGGGAGUCGAAGUCUUUCAAGCACCAGAGGCCUUGUGGCUGGGGGAGGAGAUGGGCCAAGUCUUGCUAGUGCUGAGGGUCUGGAAUCCGAGGGAGGUGAGGUAACAAUGCUUUUUUGUUUAGAUUAGACAGAGCCAAAUUGAUAGCUGAUUGUUCAAAUUCUCCAUGUUCCUCUGCUAACCGGCAUCUUUCCUUCCUUGCUGCGCUUUCAGUAGGAUCAGCGCAGUUGGAGUAUUGUAUCAUGACUUCCCUGAGCUCCUCCUGUGCCUCCUGAAGAGCUCCUGGUGGGAUAAAAUGAGGGCUUCUAGGAGUUUCAGGCUGUUGUACUGUAUGGGGAGAUGCAGGUCUUUCAUUUGCUCUUCCAGAAGAUACGUGCGAUGAGGCUCUAGGGGAUGGAGGCAGACGCCUGCCAGAGUCCAUCCAUUGAGGUUGUUGCCUGGAGAUGUGCCUUGUCGUAGGGUGAGAUUGGGAUGUUCUAUCGCUGUGAUGAUAUGAGUAGCUUCGCCUCAAAUCUCUAUUCAUUAAGACAUCUCGAAGAUCAGAGCGUUGAGAGUGAUAUGAGUUCCUGCUAGAUUCUCGCUGACUAGGUGGGUUAGGAAGGUUUCUGGUUCUGUCUCUUGGACGAGAAGCCGAAAUGUUGAUAUUUGAAGACGCCCUGGGAAGAGUUGCGUUUUGAGGACAGUCUUCUUUCUCAUGAGUCAGUAGGUGACAUAGUGAGCAGUGUUUCUCUAGUUUUUCAUAGAGAAGUGACGCUUCGACCUCAUCCCCAUUUGAAAAUUCCAGAGUUGUGUUAAAGAUGAGGGGGAG